RNAcentral lists this ribosomal RNA (251 nucleotides) under uncultured prokaryote. RNAcentral's name for it is "partial 16S rRNA". It matches the Rfam family "Bacterial small subunit ribosomal RNA", at positions 525 to 775 of the family's 1533-position model. The record is from RNAcentral.
ACGUAGGGAGCGAGCGUUGUCCGGAAUUACUGGGCGUAAAGGGCGCGUAGGCGGGUAUUUAAGUCAGAUGUGAAAGCUCCGGGCUUAACUUGGAGAGUGCAUUUGAAACUGGAUAUCUUGAGGGCAGGAGAGGAAAGUGGAAUUCCUAGUGUAGCGGUGGAAUGCGUAGAUAUUAGGAGGAACACCAGUGGCGAAGGCGACUUUCUGGACUGUACCUGACGCUGAGGCGCGAAAGCAUGGGGAGCAAACGG